This 252-nucleotide ribosomal RNA is filed under the name uncultured bacterium. RNAcentral's name for it is "partial 16S ribosomal RNA". It matches the Rfam family "Bacterial small subunit ribosomal RNA", at positions 524 to 776 of the family's 1533-position model. The record is from RNAcentral.
UACGUAGGUGGCAAGCGUUGUCCGGAAUUAUUGGGCGUAAAGCGCGCGCAGGUGGCUAUGUAAGUCUGAUGUUAAAGCCCGGGGCUCAACCCCGGUCCGCAUUGGAAACUGUGUAGCUUGAGCGCAGGAGAGGAAAGUGGUAUUCCACGUGUAGCGGUGAAAUGCGUAGAGAUGUGGAGGAACACCAGUGGCGAAGGCGACUUUCUGGCCUGUAACUGACACUGAGGCGCGAAAGCGUGGGGAGCAAACAGG